RNAcentral lists this ribosomal RNA (252 nucleotides) under uncultured bacterium. Its description in RNAcentral is "partial 16S ribosomal RNA". It matches the Rfam family "Bacterial small subunit ribosomal RNA", at positions 524 to 775 of the family's 1533-position model. The record is from RNAcentral.
UACGAAGGGAGCUAGCGUUGUUCGGAAUCACUGGGCGUAAAGCGCACGUAGGCGGAUGUGUCAGUCAGGGGUGAAAUCCCGGAGCUCAACUUCGGAACUGCCUUUGAUACAGCACGUCUUGAGUCCGAUAGAGGUGGGUGGAAUUCCUAGUGUAGAGGUGAAAUUCGUAGAUAUUAGGAAGAACACCGGUGGCGAAGGCGGCCCACUGGAUCGGUACUGACGCUGAGGUGCGAAAGCGUGGGGAGCAAACAG